Molecule: ribosomal RNA, 450 nt
Filed under: uncultured bacterium
Lineage: Bacteria
Description: bacterial SSU rRNA
Rfam family: Bacterial small subunit ribosomal RNA
Source: RNAcentral
AGCGAACGCUGGCGGCAGGCUUAACACAUGCAAGUCGAGCGGGCGUAGCAAUACGUCAGCGGCAGACGGGUGAGUAACGCGUGGGAACGUACCUUUUGGUUCGGAACAACACAGGGAAACUUGUGCUAAUACCGGAUAAGCCCUUACGGGGAAAGAUUUAUCGCCGAAAGAUCGGCCCGCGUCUGAUUAGCUAGUUGGUGUGGUAACGGCGCACCAAGGCGACGAUCAGUAGCNGGUCUGAGAGGAUGAUCAGCCACAUUGGGACUGAGACACGGCCCAAACUCCUACGGGAGGCAGCAGUGGGGAAUAUUGGACAAUGGGCGAAAGCCUGAUGCAGCGACGUCGCGUGGAGGAUGAAGUCUUCGGGACGUAACUCCUUUUACCAGGAAGAAGAAUGUGACGGUACCUGGNGAAUAAGCCCCGGGCUAACUACGUGCCAGCAGCCGCCGC